Molecule: ribosomal RNA, 295 nt
Filed under: Thauera aminoaromatica S2
Lineage: Bacteria; Pseudomonadati; Pseudomonadota; Betaproteobacteria; Rhodocyclales; Zoogloeaceae
Description: partial 23S ribosomal RNA
Rfam family: Bacterial large subunit ribosomal RNA
Source: RNAcentral
GAUCAAGCGACUAAGUGCAUGUGGUGGAUGCCUUGGCGAUCACAGGCGAUGAAGGACGUGUAAGCCUGCGAAAAGCGUGGGGGAGCUGGCAAUAGAGCAUUGAUCCCACGAUGUCCGAAUGGGGAAACCCGGCCCGCAAGGGUCAUCUCACACUGAAUACAUAGGUGUGUAGAGGCGAACCGAGCGAACUGAAACAUCUAAGUAGCUCGAGGAAAAGAAAUCAACCGAGAUUCCGUAAGUAGUGGCGAGCGAACACGGAAGAGCCUGCACGACUAAACCAUCAGCUUAGCAAAAC